Non-coding RNA from Triticum aestivum (bread wheat), 125 nucleotides. The record is from Rfam. NCBI's taxonomy places the organism in Eukaryota, Viridiplantae, Streptophyta, Magnoliopsida, Poales, Poaceae.
CAAAUACUCCCUCCGUUUGGAUUUACUUGUCUAAAAGAUGCAUAAAAAUGGAUGUAUCUAGAACUAAAAUACGUCUAGAUACAUUCUUUUCUUCGAUAAGUAUUUCUGGACGGAGCGAGCAUGAG